GACGAACGCUGGCGGCGUGCUUAACACAUGCAAGUCGAACGGAAAGGUCUCUUCGGAGAUACUCGAGUGGCGAACGGGUGAGUAACACGUGGGUAAUCUGCCCUGCACAUCGGGAUAAGCCUGGGAAACUGGGUCUAAUACCGGAUAUGACCUCGGGACGCAUGUCCUGUGGUGGAAAGCUUUUGCGGUGUGGGAUGGGCCCGCGGCCUAUCAGCUUGUUGGUGGGUGAUGGCCUACCAAGGCGACGACGGGUAGCCGGCCUGAGAGGGUGUCCGGCCACACUGGGACUGAGAUACGGCCCAGACUCCUACGGGAGGCAGCAGUGGGGAAUAUUGCACAAUGGGCGCAAGCCUGAUGCAGCGACGCCGCGUGGGGAUGACGGCCUCGG
RNAcentral lists this ribosomal RNA (388 nucleotides) under uncultured bacterium. RNAcentral's name for it is "bacterial SSU rRNA". It matches the Rfam family "Bacterial small subunit ribosomal RNA", at positions 28 to 420 of the family's 1533-position model. The record is from RNAcentral.